Molecule: long non-coding RNA, 574 nt
Filed under: Bos taurus (domestic cattle)
Lineage: Eukaryota; Metazoa; Chordata; Mammalia; Artiodactyla; Bovidae
Description: long non-coding RNA NONBTAT001662
Source: RNAcentral
GAGACAUUUAUAAUAUUUUACAAACAUUCUUAUAUUCUGAAUAAAUAUUUCUAAUUCCAUAAUAUGCUUUUACCUGUAUUCAUUGAAGGGUAUGACUCUCCUUCUGCAAUACUAACAUUUAAUGUCAAACAUCACAGGUUCGGUAGUUACAUCGAGAGCCCUCAUCAAAGUGGGGAACUAGACAGACUGUAUUGGUCAAGACGGCCAAGAGCCAAAGAAAUCAUCACCAUCUGUCACUGAUUUCUAUGGGCCACCUUUCCAAAUUUGGAUUGAAUAGGGAUCUUAAAAAUUUUUUUUAAAACCUGCUAUCAUAUAUCUGAGGUCUUUAGCAGAGAAGAAUGGUAUUUCUUUGACCUCUGAGAUCCAAGGACUGGAAAGCAUUACAUUCAGAAAACCUGACUCUAAUACAAAUUUAAGAAAUGUUGGAUUUUAUGUAUUUAGCUCACAAUAUAACCUUGCUUUGAAAGUGAACAACCAAAACAUAAAUUGAGAUGGAGAAUACAUACCAGUUACUUUCAUUUUUUGCAGAGACAUUCUACCUUUUAAUAUUUCUUCCUAUCAUAUCAACAUCUCA